AUUGAACGCUGGCGGCAUGCUUUACACAUGCAAGUCGAACGGCAGCGCGGGCUUCGGCCUGGCGGCGAGUGGCGAACGGGUGAGUAAUGCAUCGGAACGUGCCCAGUAGUGGGGGAUAGACCGGCGAAAGCCGGAUUAAUACCGCAUACGACCUGAGGGUGAAAGCGGGGGACCGAAAGGCCUCGCGCUAUUGGAGCGGCCGAUGUCGGAUUAGCUAGUUGGUGGGGUAAAGGCUUACCAAGGCGACGAUCCGUAGCUGGUCUGAGAGGACGACCAGCCACACUGGGACUGAGACACGGCCCAGACUCCUACGGGAGGCAGCAGUGGGGAAUUUUGGACAAUGGGGGCAACCCUGAUCCAGCCAUGCCGCGUGCGGGAAGAAGGCCUUCGGGUUGUAAACCGCUUUUGUUCGGGAAGAAAUCCUCUGGGCUAAUACCCCGGGGGGAUGACGGUACCGGAAGAAUAAGCACCGGCUAACUACGUG
This 484-nucleotide ribosomal RNA is filed under the name uncultured bacterium. Its description in RNAcentral is "partial 16S ribosomal RNA". It matches the Rfam family "Bacterial small subunit ribosomal RNA", at positions 29 to 507 of the family's 1533-position model. The record is from RNAcentral.